Molecule: long non-coding RNA, 2615 nt
Filed under: Homo sapiens (human)
Lineage: Eukaryota; Metazoa; Chordata; Mammalia; Primates; Hominidae
Description: HSALNT0370567
Source: RNAcentral
CUAUUUUCUUCCUUGAGGUGUGAACCACCUGCUAGGGUGUGAAUGGGCGAGAGUUCACAACAGGUGUCUGGAGAUCUUAAUUACAAGGCUUGCAUCUCCUGUCCACCCCACACCUGUUGUGCCUGCUUUGUGGGCAACGUCUGUCCAUCCCUGGCCUCCUGGCCUUCUCAUUUCCUCUUGCAGUGGCCGUGACAGUGGAAGGAGGGCCGAGGACAGCUUGCUCACUCAUGCUCCCCACACACACCUCCCUUGUCUCCCCCACACAGGCAUGGGGUCACUGCCCGAUUGACUCCUGGUUGUCAGCAGUACUUUUCCAAAAGCUUCCAGCCCUUUGAGCCCUUUCAUCUGCUAGGGCAGAGACACAGAGCAGGAUGGGGGAAGACUUCCCAUUCUCCAGGCUUUCCCUGAAGAAACUCUGCAAAAAUCAGGCUCAGGCAGCUCCUGAGAGCCAGCCAGGCAGGAUGGGUUGAGUGAGGUGUGUGGGGUGGGAGAAAACCCUUAGCCAAGUUCUCAAAGGGAUGGGUGAGGAGGAUGAGGCUGACCCCAGGUGUCUCUCCUCUGCACAGGUCGUCUCCUCCCAAAUCCACUUCCCCAGAGAGGCCCUAGGUCAGGGGGCAUCACAGCCACUGACCACUGACCAACUCCAGCUAUGCUUGCUCAUUAUUGCCUGGUGCUUUGGGGCUUCCGCAGCAGAGUUAAGAGCUUGCAACCUCAUCCAUAUGACCUCAUCCUACCUUGAUGAGGUAUUUCCAAAUAUCGAUGCUCUGGCCCUGGCUGGGAAAAGUUUGCCAACCCCUGGACUCAGUUAAACACAAGGCCUAAGUGGGGAUUUGGCACGUCCUCACAGAGCACUGGGAACCUGAAGUCAGAAAACGGGGUUUGUGGCCUUCUAGUUUCAGUUACACAGAUAAGGUAUUUUUUUCCUCCCCUUAUAAAACAUACAGGGGUUACAAAUAAAGCUAAGUCCUGUUGACCCCCUCGGAGGGCUGGCCGCGAGGACCGGGUCAUUUCCCCACUCUGCCCUGUUUUCCUAUCAGGAUAUUCCCACUCUUCCUACUUUGCUGUGGUUUGAAAGGACGGAAUGAAUGCGUGCUUUCAUUCCUUCAGUGUGCAUGGGGUGCCUCCUGUCUCCUCUGCACCACGGGAGAUGCAGAUUUAUUCCCCUGGCAUUCCUCUGGCGUUGAUGGAGCCUCUCUCUGUACCAGUACCAGUUUCUGUGGCUGCCAUGACAACAUGCCACAAUGGGGGUCUUAAACAGCAGACAUGUAUUCUCACAGUUCCAGAAGCCAGAAGUCCCAGUUCAAGGUGUGGGCAGGGCCAUGCUGCCUCCGAAGGCUGCAGGGGGGAUCCUUCCUCGCUUCCUCCCGCUCCUGGAAGCUGCUGCCAAUCCCUGCUAUUGCUUGGCAUGGGGCUGUGUCAGUCCCGUCUCUGCCUCUGUCGUCUCUGGCGUUCUUCCUUCUGUGCCUUCUCCCGAUAAGGACACCGGGCAUUGCAUCGAGGACCCACACUAAUCCAUAUGACCCCAUCUGAUCUUGAUCACAUCUGUAGAGGUCCUAUUUCUAAGUAAGGUCACAUUACAGGUUUCAAGUACACAUCAUUUGGGAGACAUCCAGUACAGGGAAUCUUAGACUGGGCAGUUAGGUAAGGCUCCUCCAAGCAGGGGACAUUUGCGUGGAGACCUGGGUUGUGAAGGAGUGAGCACGUGCAGAUCCAGAGACAGUAAAUGCCGAGCCCCGACGAGGCAGGACCAGCCUUGCCCCGUGUGAUUGCCAGCUAGCAUGCGUGCAGAAAAGUGCACAGAUCCUAAGCGGACAGUAUGGCAGGUGGUCACAAAUUCAGCACCACUGUGUAACCAGCACCUGGCUCAAGAGGCAGAGCAUUUCCAGCUAGCCCCUGCCCAGCGCCUCCUGCCAGUCACUACCUGCCCCCCACCAAGAGCAGCCACUCUCUUAACUUCGAAAAACAUAUAUUAGUGUUGCCUGUUUUUGUACUUUCUGUAAAUGGAACUGGAACAUAUAUUCUCAUUUGUGUCUGGCUUCUUUGAUCAUCAUUCUAUUUCUGGGAUCCGCACUUGCUAUGUUGCAGUUGUAAUCCAUUCAUUGUUGUGACCAUCUAGAAUUCCAUUGUGUGAAUAUGUUGCAAUAUACUUACCCAUUUUACCAAUGAGCAUUUGGGUAGUUGGCAGGGUUUGGGCUAUUUCAAAUACUGCUCCUGUGAGCAUUUCUUUGGCAUCCACAUGCAUGUGUCCCUGUAGAGUGUAUGUGUAGGUAUGGAAUUGCAGGGCCACAGGGUAUGCAUAUCUCAGCUUUAGUAGAUAUUUAUUUCCAGGCAGGUUUCCAAAGUGGUUGUAUCAGUUUGCGCUUCCUUCCACGGUCAGUUUAUGGUGUUCUGGUGCGCCUCAUCCUCGUCCACACUUGGUGUUGUCUGUCUUUUCCUUAGCCAUUCUGGUAGGUGGAUAAUGGCUACAGUGGUAUUACUGUAUUAUGGUUCUAAUCUGUGCUUCCCUGAUAGUUCAGGAAGUCAAAUAUUUUCUCCUAUGUUUAUGAGCCAUUUGGAUAUCUAUUGUCUCUUGUGGGAUGUCUGUUCAAGUCUUUUGCCCACUUUUUAAAAACUGG